Acipenser ruthenus (sterlet) is the source of this 529-nucleotide long non-coding RNA. RefSeq lists it as uncharacterized. The record is from RefSeq and is a predicted model, not a curated record. The transcript has 3 exons. NCBI's taxonomy places the organism in Eukaryota, Metazoa, Chordata, Actinopteri, Acipenseriformes, Acipenseridae.
UCUUGCGCUUUGAUCGACUCUUGCAGCUGAGCUUUGUCCGCCGUGGUGCUUCUUAACGGGAAGACUUAAACGUGGAUUCAGUAGAGAACCAUGCUAUUCUUAGGGAAAAGAUAAAGUUCCUGGAUCUUUGUAUGAGGAUUCAUGCUGAUUUGGUAACCCCAGUCUGGAGUCACACCAGCUUGGUGAGAGCAGGGUACAGUGGAUAGAGGAUUCCCAGAAGCAGAGUGCUUCCUAACUGAGGCACAAACAACACUUCCUUCAGCCACUGUAUUCCACGUUGAAGAUCUGCCACCCAGACACUGAACAUACACAAAGCUGGUUACUUUCAAAGAACUGACAAUUUAGUAUAAUUUUAAAAAAUAAAUGAUGGCUUCUAAUGCUGCCAUCUGCAUUUCCAUCUUUUCCUUCAAUAAAACUUUGAAAACAACGAGAUCUACCUACAGCAGAUAAUGGAUUUAAUCUAGAAUACUGGUUUUCAAACUGUGGUGGCAGCUUGAGGGUGCAAACCUCACUUCAAAAGAUCAAAACG